RNAcentral lists this long non-coding RNA (1059 nucleotides) under Anas platyrhynchos platyrhynchos (common mallard). RNAcentral describes it as "lncRNA (ENSAPLG00000030220.1)". Lineage: Eukaryota; Metazoa; Chordata; Aves; Anseriformes; Anatidae. The record is from RNAcentral.
AUGGGCACUGGGGCCGCCGUCCCCUUGCUCCCUUCACACCAGGACUGUCGCCAUCAGCCCAGGCGUCCACAGCCGCAGGGAUGUGCCAACAGGGGGGACGCAGCACAGGCAGCAGGACACAACCCCACAGUGUCCCAAACUCCCCCCACCCCACUGCUGGAGCCUGAACGCCCUCGCCGCCCCUCGGGGCGCAACGUGCCAUGGCUUGGGUGCCCCCCACGCAGCUCCGCCUGCGUCCCACCGCAGCCCCGCGGGACAGAGGCGGGGGCCCCGCCGCGCUGCAGCCCUGCUUUUGUGCCAAGCGUGGGCAGAGCCGCCCCCGGCGCUCCCGCACCCUGCUCCUGCACCCACGCAGCAGCCGUGGCAGCCAGGGCUCAGCUCGCUGCAGCCCCGCAGCCAGCCCCGGCCUGCCCGCGUGGCCGUGCGCAGCUGCACAGCUCCAUCUGCCGAGCCCCAGCCACCACACAUGCAGCGGGGACACCCGCGGUGGGGACGGAUGGCUGGGAUGUGUACAGUGGGGUCGGCACAGAUGGUGCUGGAGGGGGCCCCAAGCAGCUGGAGCCGUGCCCUGAUGAGGUCCCGCAAGGCCGGGGCCAUGCGCAGGUGGAGGAGCGCGCAGCUGGGGUCUGUGCCGCAGGAGGGGUGCGCAGCUGGGGCCGUGCACAGCUGGAUCCUGUGUGGCUGGAGCUCGAGCACAGCUGGAUCCCAAACACAGCUGGAUCCCAAACUCAGCUGGAUCCCAAACACAGCUGGAUCCAAUGCCCACAGCUGGAUCCUGCACCCAGCUGGCGGCUGUUUCCAUCCCCAGGGAGUUCAUUUUGGGACCCGUCACUUUUUUUGCCCCUUUGCACAGCUGUUUCCCCGCACAGCCCCUCCUGUUCCCUGCUCUCUCCUGCUCCCAGCACCGCUCCCGCUUGCUUUGGGCUUCAUUCAGCCACGUGCAAGCGCAGCCAGUCGCACCCAACAGAACCCUUUCACCCCAUUGCACAAGCACAGCCCUGCUUAUUUUUCUCCAGCCUCCUCUUCCUCCCCACCAACAGGCACCACCUUCAGCUCUGA